RNAcentral lists this ribosomal RNA (441 nucleotides) under uncultured bacterium. Its description in RNAcentral is "partial 16S ribosomal RNA". It matches the Rfam family "Bacterial small subunit ribosomal RNA", at positions 338 to 795 of the family's 1533-position model. The record is from RNAcentral.
CCUACGGGAGGCUGCAGUGGGGAAUAUUGCACAAUGGGGGAAACCCUGAUGCAGCGACGCCGCGUGAGUGAAGAAGUAUUUCGGUAUGUAAAGCUCUAUCAGCAGGGAAGAAGAAAGACGGUACCUGACUCAGAAGCCCCGGCUAACUACGUGCCAGCAGCCGCGGUAAUACGUAGGGGGCAAGCGUUAUCCGGAUUUACUGGGUGUAAAGGGAGCGUAGACGGCUGUGCAAGUCUGAAGUGAAAGCCCAGGGCUCAACCCUGGGACUGCUUUGGAAACUGUGGAGCUAGAGUGCUGGAGAGGUAAGUGGAAUUCCUAGUGUAGCGGUGAAAUGCGUAGAUAUUAGGAGGAACACCAGUGGCGAAGGCGGCUUACUGGACAGUAACUGACGUUGAGGCUCGAAAGCGUGGGGAGCAAACAGGAUUAGAUACCCGGGUAGUC